This 466-nucleotide ribosomal RNA is filed under the name uncultured bacterium. Its description in RNAcentral is "partial 16S ribosomal RNA". It matches the Rfam family "Bacterial small subunit ribosomal RNA", at positions 28 to 507 of the family's 1533-position model. The record is from RNAcentral.
GACGAACGCUGGCGGCGUGCUUAACACAUGCAAGUCGUGCGGUAAGGCCCUUUCGGGGGUACACGAGCGGCGAACGGGUGAGUAACACGUGAGCAACCUGCCCUUCACUUUGGGAUAACUGCCGGAAACGGUGGCUAAUACCGGAUAUGACUUCUUCACGCAUGUGGGGUGGUGGAAAGCCUUCGGGUGGUGGGGGAUGGGCUCGAGGUCUAUCAGCUUGUUGGUGGGGUGAUGGCCUACCAAGGCAUCGACGGGUAGCCGGCCUGAGAGGGUGACCGGCCACAAUGGGACUGAGCAACGGCCCAGACUGCUACGGGAGGCAGCAGUAGAGAAUAUUGCACAAUGAGCGAAAGCCUGAUCCAACAACGCCGCGUGAGGGAUGACGGCCUUCGGGUUGUAAACCGCUUUCGACUGCGACGAAGCGAGAGUGACGGUAGCAGGUAAAGAAGCACCGGCCAACUACGUG